Molecule: ribosomal RNA, 1340 nt
Filed under: metagenome
Description: bacterial SSU rRNA
Rfam family: Archaeal small subunit ribosomal RNA
Source: RNAcentral
GUCGAUAAUUUACCUUGAAGUCUGGGAUAACCUUGGCAAACUGAGGGGAAACCCGGAUAGGGAAAAAAUACUGGAAUGUUUUUUUCCUCAAAAGCAAUGCUUCAAGAUGAGUCGGCAGUGGAUUAGGUAGUUGGUGAGGUAACGGCUCACCAAGCCGAAGAUCCAUAAGGGCCUUGAGAGAGGUUGCCCUGAGAGGGACACUGAGAUACAGGUCCCAGCCCUAAGGGGUGCAGCAGUCGGGAAGACUUUACAAUGCGCGCAAGCGUGAUAAGGGGAUUCUGAGUGCUCAGGUACUACCUGGGCUUUUGCCAAGAGCAAAUAUCUUGGAGAAUAAGUGGUGGGCAAGACUGGUGCCAGCCGCCGCGGUAACCCCAGCGCCACAAGUGGGAACCACGUUUAUUGGGUCUAAAGCAUCCGUAGCCGGCUUCUUAAAUUUUCUGUGAAAUCGUUGCGCUUAACGUAACGGCGUGCAGGGAAGACUGGGAAGCUAGGGACCGGGAGAGGUACAAGGUAUUCCAGGGGGAGCGGUAAAAUGCUUUAAUCCUUGGAGGACCACCGAUGGCGAAGGCAUUGUACCAGAACGGAUCUGACGGUGAGGGAUGAAAGCUAGGGGAGCGAACCGGAUUAGAUACCCGAGUAGUCCUAGCCGUAAACGCUGCGAGUCAGAUGUCACAUAUUCCUCGUGAAUGUGUUGUGUCGAAACGAAGGUGUUAAACUCGCCACCUGGGAAGUACGGCCGCAAGACUGAAACUUAAAGGAAUUGGCGGGGGAGCACUACAACGGGUGCGGCGUGCGGUUUAAUCGAAUUCAACGCCGAGAAUCUCACCAGCGGCGACGGCACUGUGAAGGUCAGUUUGAAGAGCUUACCUGAGGAGCCGAGAGGUGGUGCAUGGCCACCGUCAGCUCGUGCCGUGAGGUGUCCUGUUAAGUCAGGCAACGAGCGAGACCUGUAUCUACUGUUGCUAACGUGUCCGUAAGGAUGAGCGAGCACACUGUGGAGACUGCCUUCGAAAGGAGGAGGAAGGCGCAGGCUACGGUAAGUCUGUAUGCCCCGAAUCUGCUGGGCUACACGCGCGCAACAAUGGUAAGUACAAUGGGAUGCGACUCCGAAAGGAGAAGCUAGGCCUCGAAAACUUAUCUUAGUUCGGAUCGAGGACUGUAACUCGUCCUCGUGACGUCGGAAUCCGUAGUAAUCAGAGUUUAUCAUACUCCGGUGAAUAUGUCCCUGCUCCUUGCACACACCGCCCAUCAAACCAACCGAGCCGGGUUUAGGUGAGUUUUUGCUAUUUUGGCAAAGCCGAACCUAAGUUCAGUGAGGUGGGUUAAGUUGUCACAAGGUA